GAAAUGCGAUAAGUAGUGUGAAUUGCAGAAUUCAGUGAAUCAUCGAAUCUUUGAACGCACAUUGCGCCCCUUGGUAUUCCAUGGGGCAUGCCUGUUCGAGCGUCAUUUGUACCCUCAAGCUCUGCUUGGUGUUGGGUGUUUGUCCCGUCUCCGCGCGUGGACUCGCCCCAAAUUGAUGGGCAGCCGGCGUACUGGUCCCGGAGCGCAGCACAUGUCGCGCAAACGAGUGCCUUGGUACGGCGGCGUCCAUAAGCCCCUCUCUCACGCUCUUGACCUCGGAUCAGGUAGGGAUACCCGCUGAACUUAAGC
This 309-nucleotide unclassified non-coding RNA is filed under the name plant metagenome. RNAcentral describes it as "partial contains 5.8S ribosomal RNA, internal transcribed spacer 2, and large subunit ribosomal RNA". The stretch from base 1 to 105 matches the Rfam family "5.8S ribosomal RNA", at positions 50 to 154 of the family's 154-position model. The record is from RNAcentral.